AGGUCAAAGGUGAGAGUGGAAGGUAAGUUGAAUUAUGUAAAAAUGUGCAGCCCGUACUAGAUGGGGCUGGGCUGGCACCACACCUUUCAGGAGAGGGUUGGGCCAAUUUUGGGGGGUAUUAAAACCCAUAGGUAAAGAGGCCUAAUGUGGCCCAGGCUUGGCCUUCUGUUGGGCUAAGCCAAGCCCAUGGCUCAAUUAAUUUUUAAUAUAUAUUUGAAAUAUCUUUAACACAUUUUAAUUAUCUUUGAUAUAUUUUUUAUAUUUUUAAUAAUAUUUAUGGUCAGGCCAAGCCAUGGACCAAACCAUGGCGAAAGCUCAGACUGGGCCUAGGCCUUGAUUGGGUUGAGCCAUUCCAAAUGGAAGCUGGUGGGCAGCUCGGCUUGUCUAGCCUGACUCGUGAAUUUAUUAAUCAAGCGAGCUAGGCUAGGCUCAAACCUUGCUUGGCCAGGCAGGCAAUCAGACUGUAUUUUUCAUCUGGUAUCGGUAGAUAGACACACUUCUACAAUUAGCCAACCAAAAUGAAUAAAGCAACGAAAAGCACUGUUAUAGCAGAGUUUAAGGUAGAAAUAGGGGAGACCAAUAGGAGAAGAGAGAACAGAGAAAGGUGGAGGGAAAAGAAUAAGAAAAGCAGAGAACAGGAGUAGAAAGCAUAAUUUCAAGAGAGAAAAACUUCGAGUUCUAUUUCAAUAACAUUAUCCUCCUCAUUACAUCAAAUAUAUUUAUAAAGAAAAACUAGUCCCAGAAUGAACCAAAAGUAAUUGGUCAAUAUGAAGACACCACCAUUCUUGUAACAAUAAAAAACAAGACUACUUUUGACACUUCAAAUUGCCAUUAUUUUUGUCUAAUGAGAGGUGACACAGUGUGUCCACCUACAGUUACCAAUACAGCCUUUGGCCACCAUCUUUCAACUGAUGAGAUCUAGGAAGUUGCCACAACCGUUGAUCCAAUGAUAAGUGCAGCAAGUUAACACCUUACCACCAUCUUUGGAGCAA
RNAcentral lists this long non-coding RNA (992 nucleotides) under Carica papaya (papaya). Its description in RNAcentral is "long non-coding RNA (CPAP_LNC015535)". The record is from RNAcentral. Lineage: Eukaryota; Viridiplantae; Streptophyta; Magnoliopsida; Brassicales; Caricaceae.